GCAAGUCGAACGAUAACUCGAAGCUUGCUUCGAGGGACAGUGGCAAACGGGUGAGUAACACGUGGGUAACCUGCCUUCGGAUGGGGGAUAGCUCUAGGAAACUAGUGGUAAUACCGCAUAAUGUCCAACCAUCAUAAGACGGAUGGGUUAAAGGCGCUUUCGGGCGUCAUCUGAAGAUGGGCCCGCGCACUAUUGGCUAGUUGGUAGGGUAACGGCCUACCAAGGCAACGAUGGUUAGCCGGCCUGAGAGGGUGUACGGCCACAUUGGGACUGAGAUACGGCCCAGACUCCUACGGGAGGCAGCAGCUAAGAAUAUUCCGCAAUGGGCGCAAGCCUGACGGAGCGACGCCGCGUGGAGGAUGAAGGCUUUCGGGUUGUAAACUCCUUUUCUUAGGGAAGAAUUAAGUUGGCAGGAAAUGGUCGACCGAUGACGGUACCUAAGGAAUAAGCCCCGGCUAAUUACGUGCCAGCAGCCGCGGUAAUACGUAUGGGGCAAGCGUUGUUCGGAUUCACUGGGCGUAAAGGGCGUGUAGGCGGUGUGGUAAGUCGGAUGUGAAAUCUCCAGGCUCAACCUGGAAACUGCAUUCGAAACUGCCAUGCUUGAGUACCGGAGAGGGAAACGGAAUUCCUGGUGUAGGGGUGAAAUCUGUAGAUAUCAGGAAGAACACCGGUGGCGAAGGCGGUUUCCUGGCCGGAUACUGACGCUGAGGCGCGAAAGCUAGGGGAGCAAACAGGAUUAGAUACCCUGGUAGUCCUAGCUGUAAACGUUGUGCACUAGGUGUAAGUGGUUUCAACCCACUUGUGCCGCAGCUAACGCAUUAAGUGCACCGCCGGGGGAGUAUGCUCGCAAGGGUGAAACUCAAAGGAAUUGACGGGGGCCCGCACAAGCGGUGGAGGCAUGUGGUUUAAUUCGAUGAUACGCGAAGAACCUUACCAGGGUUUGACAUGCAGUUGACGGGAGCAGAGAUGUUCCUUUCCUUCGGGACGGCUGCACAGGUGCUGCAUGGCUGUCGUC
RNAcentral lists this ribosomal RNA (1015 nucleotides) under uncultured bacterium. RNAcentral's name for it is "bacterial SSU rRNA". It matches the Rfam family "Bacterial small subunit ribosomal RNA", at positions 57 to 1056 of the family's 1533-position model. The record is from RNAcentral.